UUGGUUCGUCGGGAUGCCCCUUUUUUGCCUGGACUAUUCUUUUUACUGUCCAACGGGUCUAUUUUAUGCGAAGUAUUUUUCAAUUGCGUCUGAGUUGACAGGGGACGGGAAGUCUUCGCCAUCCAUGGUUGUUAGCAUCAGAGCUCCGCCAGAGAAAACUAUUUUAACCACAUAUGGACCCUCGUUGGUCGGUAUCCAUUUG
RNAcentral lists this long non-coding RNA (202 nucleotides) under Lathyrus oleraceus (garden pea). RNAcentral's name for it is "Pisum sativum (pea) long non-coding RNA (PSAT_LNC025293)". Lineage: Eukaryota; Viridiplantae; Streptophyta; Magnoliopsida; Fabales; Fabaceae. The record is from RNAcentral.